CUGGAACGCACAAACAAAACGCCGCUAUUCGGAUAUAACGAUGGAUUAUUUUGGACCAAACCAACAUUUGUUAUUGAAGUAGCAGUCCUGGGUGUGCAUUCUGACGAAGACAACAAAAGGCGUUAUGCAGUCUCAUUUUGAGGCUCCUGGAGUCGGGAGAGCUGUCUAAUCCUCCAGGCGUCCGAGGGGAGAAUGACAGGGAGAACGACGUAGGACCAGGGACUCUGGAGAGAGAAACAACCCCUGGGUCUGAUGCUGACAAUUCUGAGACAGGAGAGCAGAGGAGAGGAGCAGAGGAGAGCAGAGGAGCAGAGGAGAGGAGCAGAGGAAAUGAGCAGUGGAGAUGAGCAGAGGAGACAAGCAGAGGAGAUGAGCAGUGGAGAGGAACAGAGGAGGAAAGGAGCAGAGGCAUUGGCACAAACACCUACAUGUAACGCCAUGGGUGGUAGGACAGUAGUCUGCCCUGGAUCACACAAGGCCUCUGCAGCUGGCAGACCGAAGGACUACGAGGAAG
This 514-nucleotide long non-coding RNA is filed under the name Salmo salar (Atlantic salmon). RNAcentral describes it as "lncRNA (ENSSSAG00000116368.1)". The record is from RNAcentral. Lineage: Eukaryota; Metazoa; Chordata; Actinopteri; Salmoniformes; Salmonidae.